Populus trichocarpa (black cottonwood) is the source of this 2084-nucleotide RNA transcript. It is a transcript of the gene named UBP1-associated protein 2A, with no coding region annotated. The record is from RefSeq and is a predicted model, not a curated record. Lineage: Eukaryota; Viridiplantae; Streptophyta; Magnoliopsida; Malpighiales; Salicaceae. The transcript is spliced from 3 exons.
CUUUAUCUCGAUAUAAACCAAGUGCAGUUCAACCUUCUUCUCCAAUUCCAAAACCCUCUAUUGCCUUUGCCUGCACCGCAACGCACCGUCCUUCUUUCCUUUUCUUUCAACUCUCUCAGAAAACACAGUAACAAAAAUGGUCAAGAAACGAAAGCCCACUUCCAAACCCCAACAACCAUCCUCUUCUAAACAACCCAAAAUUGAAAAGCCCCCGCAGCCUCCACCACCUUCCUCAGAAGCCGAAGAAGUAGCAGCAGUGGUAGAGGAGGAGGAGGAGGAGGAGGAGGAGGAGGAGGAGGAGGAAGAAGAAGAAGGAGACAGUUCCUCGUCAGAAACAGAGUCAGGGGAUUCAGGAUCCGAAGAGGAGGAGGAAUCUGAAUCUGAAUCUGAAUCCGAAGAAGAAGAAGAAGAAAGCGAAGAUUCUAAACGAGAAACCAUAAGCAAAAUCUUACAACCCUUCACUAAAGAACUACUUAUCAAAAUCCUCAAAGAAGCAGCCUCCACUGACCCAUGUAUCGCCACAGAAAUCUUCAACUCCGUCGAUUCUGACCCAGUCCACCGCAAAAUCUUCGUUCACGGACUCGGUUGGGAUGCCCACAACGAAACCCUUAUCUCAGUUUUCAAAAAAUACGGUGAAAUUGAGGAAUGCAAGAUUGUAACUGAUAAGGCUACAGGUCGCUCAAAAGGGUAUGGUUUUCUUCUCUUUAAAACGCGAAUUGCUGCGCGGAAAGCGCUUAAAGAGCCACAAAAAAAGGUGGGGAAUCGAACGGUUUCGUGUCAAUUGGCGUCUUUAGGAAAGGGGCAGAAUCAGAAACAGGACAAUAGCUCUGAUGUCAGUUUGAGGAAAUUGUACAUAGGGAAUGUGGGUCCGCAGAUUAGUGUGGAGAAUCUUAGAGAGUUUUUUGCUCAGUUUGGAGAAAUUGAAGAUGGGCCAUCAGGUUUUGAUAAGAGUACUAUGAAGUUUAGGGGUUUUGCCUUUAUUGUUUAUAAGAGUUUAGAGGGGAUUAGGAAGGCAUUAGAAGAGCCUGUUAAGGUUUUUGAAGGUUUAAAGUUGCAGUGUUCACUAUCUACUAAGAAUAGCAGUGGUGGUGGUGGUAAUGCUAAUGUUGCGGAGGCGUCCAGUGCUGGUGCUGGUAACAAUGCAGGAGUUGUGCAGGGAAAUUUGGGAAUUCAGGGUUUAUUGAACCAGGGAAUGGUGGGGCAGAGUGUGAAUCCAACAGGUGCAGUUUUCUUGGGGCAGAAUCCUGCUUUGGGGGUUUUGAAUCCGGUGCUGGGUCUAGGUGUUGGUGCAGGUGGGAUGCUGAAUCAGACAGGGUUGAGUCCAUUGUUUCCUGGUGGGGUUUCGCAGCCUUUGAACAGAGUUGGGAAUGUUGGUCCUUCUAUUGGAUUGGGUGCAGGAUUUACCACACAGCAUGGGAUUAAUACUAUAAGCAACAGUAUGAUUGGUAGUUAUAAUUCUCAGGCUGCUUUGCAGGGAUUGGGUGCUUAUCAGAGUUCUCAAUUGAGUCAGCCUUCUGCAUCAGCAGCAAGGUCUCAGGCUGGCAUUGGAUCUGUGCCGAGUUAUUUUGGGCGCUAGGAACAGGACGCCAGGGAAAUGGGAGAUACUGGAUUCGAGUUCAUAAUAACAAUACGUACUUGUAUUCACUUGUUGGAUAAACAAAUUGUUCGAUAAUCUCAAAUUAAUUGCUAAGGAUUCAAUUUCAGCAAAAGAGUGUUUCAAGAAGAUCCUAUCAGUUCGUUAACUUCUGCAGCACAUUUCAAUUCUUUGUGCACACUUCCUCGCCGGACACGGAUGCAGGUAGCACCAUGAGAGAAUUUGAGGAGCUGAAUAAGACGUUCAAGAGCUGAGCCAUAGUAUCACCAUGGAUAGUAGAGUUAAGAAGGGAGGUAGAGUGAAGAUGGGCACCGCAGCCUUUGUGCUCCUAGCAAUUUGUUUAUCAAACAAGUAAUGGCUAUUGAACACAGAUAAACAGUAUCAACACAAAGCACUUUGUCUUGAAAGCCCUAACAUGAGCACUUUGAUAUUUUUAUUCCUUUUCAAGUACCCUGUUUGAGAUUCAUCUUAUAAAUAAGUUAUUAUUUGA